GGGCCCGCACAAGCGGUGGAGCAUGUGGUUUAAUUCGAUGAUACGCGAGGAACCUUACCAGGGCUUAAAUGUAGUGGGACAGGUCUAGAGAUAGACCCUUCUUCGGACUCAUUACAAGGUGCUGCAUGGUUGUCGUCAGCUCGUGCCGUGAGGUGUCAGGUUAAGUCCUAUAACGAGCGCAACCCCUAUCGUUAGUUGCCAGCGAGUAAUGUCGGGAACUCUAACGAAACUGCCAGUGCAAACUGUGAGGAAGGUGGGGAUGACGUCAAAUCAUCACGGCCCUUACGUCCUGGGCUACACACGUGCUACAAUGGCCGGUACAGAGGGCAGCCACACCGCAAGGUGGAGCGAAUCUAUUAAAACCGGUCUCAGUUCGGAUCGGAGUCUGCAACUCGACUCCGUGAAGCUGGAAUC
Molecule: ribosomal RNA, 414 nt
Filed under: uncultured bacterium
Lineage: Bacteria
Description: bacterial SSU rRNA
Rfam family: Bacterial small subunit ribosomal RNA
Source: RNAcentral